This 318-nucleotide ribosomal RNA is filed under the name uncultured bacterium. RNAcentral describes it as "bacterial SSU rRNA". It matches the Rfam family "Bacterial small subunit ribosomal RNA", at positions 28 to 334 of the family's 1533-position model. The record is from RNAcentral.
GAUGAACGCUGGCGGCGUGCUUAAUACAUGCAAGUCGAACGAAGAAUUUUCUAAGCUUGCUUAGCAAAUUCUUAGUGGCGAACGGGUGAGUAAUACGUAAGCAACCUACCUAUAUGAAUGGGAUAACUAUUAGAAAUGAUAGCUAAUACCAUAUAGCUAAUAAGAGGGCAUCCUCUUAUUACUAAAGAUGCGUUUGCAUCGCUUAUAGAUGGGCUUACGGUGUAUUAGCUAGUUGGUGAGGUAACUGCUCACCAAGGCGAUGAUACAUAGCCGGCCUGAGAGGGUGAACGGCCACAUUGGGACUGAGACACGGCCCAG